CAGUCGCCACGGGAAUACGAAGGGUGCAAGCGUUAAUCGGAAUUACUGGGCGUAAAGCGUGCGUAGGCGGUGAGUUAAGUCUGCUGUGAAAUCCCCGGGCUCAGCCUGGGAACUGCGCUUGUGACUGCACAGCUAGAGUAUGGCAGAGGGGGGUGGAAUUCCACGUGUAGCAGUGAAAUGCGUAGAGAUCAGGAGGAACACCGAUGGCGAAGGCAGCCCCCUGGGCCUGUACUGACGCUCAUGCACGAAAGCGUGGGGAGCAAACAGGAUUAGAUACCCCUGUAGUCCCUGUCUCUUAUAC
Molecule: ribosomal RNA, 301 nt
Filed under: uncultured bacterium
Lineage: Bacteria
Description: partial 16S ribosomal RNA
Rfam family: Bacterial small subunit ribosomal RNA
Source: RNAcentral